AACGUAGGUACCGAGCGUUAUCCGGAUUUACUGGGCGUAAAGCGCGUUCAGGCGGUUUGGCAAGUCGGGCAUGAAAUCCUUCGGCUCAACCGGGGGAGGUUGUCCGAUACUGUCAGACUGGAGGGCAGUAGAGGGUGGUGGAAUUCCGGGUGUAGUGGUGAAAUGCGUAGAGAUCCGGAGGAACACCAGUGGCGAAAGCGGCCACCUGGACUGCACCUGACGCUGAAACGCGAAAGCUAGGGGAGCGAACGGGAUUAGAAACCCCGGUAGUCCUAGCUAUAAACGAUGUUGACUAGGUGUCGACGGGUUAAAAGCCGCCGGUGCCGGAGCAAACGCAUUAAGUCAACCGCCUGGGGACUACGGCCGCAAGGUUAAA
This 376-nucleotide ribosomal RNA is filed under the name uncultured bacterium. RNAcentral describes it as "bacterial SSU rRNA". It matches the Rfam family "Bacterial small subunit ribosomal RNA", at positions 524 to 898 of the family's 1533-position model. The record is from RNAcentral.